GAUGAAGAACGUAGCGAAAUGCGAUAAGUAAUGUGAAUUGCAGAAUUCAGUGAAUCAUCGAAUCUUUGAACGCACAUUGCGCCCCCCAGUAUUCUGGCGGGCAUGCCUGUUUGAGCGUCAUUUCAACCAUCAAGCCCUGCUUGUGUUGGGGUCCUGCGGCUGCCCGCAGGCCCUGAAAACCAGUGGCGGGCUCGCUAGUCACACCGAGCGCAGUAGCACAUCUCGCUCAGGGCGUGCGGCGGGCUCCAGCCGUUAAAGCACCCACCUUUCGCAAGGUUGACCUCGGAUCAGGUAGGAAUACCCGCUGAACUUAAGCAUAUCAAUAAGCGGAGGA
RNAcentral lists this unclassified non-coding RNA (334 nucleotides) under soil metagenome. RNAcentral describes it as "partial contains 5.8S ribosomal RNA, internal transcribed spacer 2, and large subunit ribosomal RNA". The stretch from base 1 to 120 matches the Rfam family "5.8S ribosomal RNA", at positions 35 to 154 of the family's 154-position model. The record is from RNAcentral.